Molecule: long non-coding RNA, 736 nt
Filed under: Homo sapiens (human)
Lineage: Eukaryota; Metazoa; Chordata; Mammalia; Primates; Hominidae
Description: HSALNT0183026
Source: RNAcentral
GUCCGUAGAUACCGCAGUCAAGGGGCGAUUCACUCCAUUUACUGACACAAUAGACAUGGAGUGCCUCCCAUGGACACAGGGAAUGAAGGGAUAGACAGAUGUCCUAUCUUUGGGAAUGCUGGCCUUCCAAGGAGAGAGUUGUCCACUGGGGAAAACGCCUGGGCAAUUCCCUGCAGUGUGGCAGGUGUGAAGGUGGAGAGCCCAGAGAUCCAGACCCAGCCUCAAUGCUCCCACCUGCAACUGUUUAACAGCAACUAAACCUUUCCUGGACACAGGUUCCUCAAGGGCUGAACAUUUGAGAAACCUAUUAUCAUUAUCAACCUAUUAUCAACAAAGAUGUUAUCAUUGUCUACUGGUUGCUUCUCUCUCUGGGCUUGUUAAGCAAGACACCUAAGUUGAUCCUGGAGCUGCCACUUCUCCUUUACUUCCACGUACUGUUUCUACCCAUUCCCCCAGCCCAACACCUCCAGGCGUGACUCUUUUCUAGCCAGAUCCUCAGCCAAAUGCUAGAAACACAAUGCUGUAAGCAGACAAGGAGGGAAAAAUCAAAGUGCAGGCAGUAAGCCUCCUACCCUGCAGCAAAUCAUACAUGGACAAACGCAGGGUCCAUUCAUCCUUUCUUUCACACUGUUGUUGUUGCUCAUCUCUAUUUCAUCUCAACUACUCCAAAGACAGGAGGAGGCCAAGGUCUAUAGUAUUUUAAAGGAGAGUUCUCAUACUCUAGACUAAUAAAGCC